GAUGAACGCUGGCGGCGUGCCUAAUACAUGCAAGUCGAGCGAACAGACGAGGAGCUUGCUCCUCUGACGUUAGCGGCGGACGGGUGAGUAACACGUGGAUAACCUACCUAUAAGACUGGGAUCACUUCGGGAAACCGGAGCUAAUACCGGAUAAUAUAUUGAACCGCAUGGUUCAAUAGUGAAAGACGGUUUUGCUGUCACUUAUGGAUGGAUCCGCGCCGCAUUAGCUAGUUGGUAAGGUAACGGCUUACCAAGGCAACGAUGGGUAGCCGGCCUGAGAGGGGUACCGGCCACAGUGGGACUGAGAUACGGCCCAGAGGCGUACGGGAGGGAGCAGUGGGGAAUAUUGCACAAUGGGUGGAAGCGAGAUGCAGCAACGCCGCGUGCGGGAUGACGGCUUUCGGGGUGUAAACCGCUUUCGCCUGUGACGAAGCGUGCGUGAGGGUAAGGGGUAAAGAAGACCCGGAGAGCUACGUG
This 477-nucleotide ribosomal RNA is filed under the name uncultured bacterium. RNAcentral's name for it is "partial 16S ribosomal RNA". It matches the Rfam family "Bacterial small subunit ribosomal RNA", at positions 28 to 507 of the family's 1533-position model. The record is from RNAcentral.